Molecule: non-coding RNA, 27 nt
Filed under: Homo sapiens (human)
Lineage: Eukaryota; Metazoa; Chordata; Mammalia; Primates; Hominidae
Source: RNAcentral
UACUGACUAAACAGUAUCUCUGCCUGC